CCUACGGGCGGCAGCAGUGAGGAAUAUUGGUCAAUGGGCGAGAGCCUGAACCCGCCAAGUCGCGUGAGGGAGUACUGCCCUAUGGGUUGUAAACCUCUUUUGUCGGGGAGCAAAAGCCGGACGUGUCCGGCUGUGAGAGUACCCGAAGAAAAAGCAUCGGCUAACUCCGGUCCAGCAGCCGCGGUAAUACGGGGGAUGCGAGCGUUAUCAGGAUUUAUUGGGUUUAAGGGGGGCGCAGGCGGGUUUUUAAGUCAGCGGUAAAAUCGGGGGGCUCAACCCCAUCCAGCCGUUGAAACUGGGGAUCUAGAGUGUGCGAGAGGUAUGCGGAAUGCGUGGUGUAGCGGUGAAAUGCAUAGAUAUCACGCAGAACCCCGAUUGCGAAGGCAGCAUACCGGUGCACAACUGACGCUCAGGCACGAAAGCGUGGGUAUCGAACAGGAUUAGAUACCCCAGUAGUC
This 458-nucleotide ribosomal RNA is filed under the name uncultured bacterium. RNAcentral describes it as "partial 16S ribosomal RNA". It matches the Rfam family "Bacterial small subunit ribosomal RNA", at positions 338 to 795 of the family's 1533-position model. The record is from RNAcentral.